GCCCUACUGGCUCAGAUGGUAAAGAAUCUGUCUGCAAUGCAGGAGACCUGGGUUCAAUCCCUGGGUUGGGAA
RNAcentral lists this transfer RNA (72 nucleotides) under Ovis aries (sheep). It matches the Rfam family "tRNA". Rfam says of the family: Transfer RNA (tRNA) molecules are approximately 80 nucleotides in length. Their secondary structure includes four short double-helical elements and three loops (D, anti-codon, and T loops). Lineage: Eukaryota; Metazoa; Chordata; Mammalia; Artiodactyla; Bovidae. The record is from Rfam by way of RNAcentral.